Molecule: long non-coding RNA, 241 nt
Filed under: Gossypium barbadense (sea-island cotton)
Lineage: Eukaryota; Viridiplantae; Streptophyta; Magnoliopsida; Malvales; Malvaceae
Description: long non-coding RNA (GBAR_LNC012876)
Source: RNAcentral
CAAAGCCAAUUCAAUGUAUCUCCUAAUGACAUGUCACUAGUAUCCUAAACUAUUCCGAAAGUUCAAUUGAGAUUUUGAAUGUCGAAUUGUUAUCGAAUCACUAUUGUUCAUAUCCACAGUCUCGUAUUUGCAAUUUAUGCAAUAUCAAAGUAUUUAAUAUAUAUUGAAAAUGAAUUUAUCACAUACGAACUUACCUCGAAUGUGGAAACAACGAAAUAAGUCGAUUAGUCGAUAACUUUAG